This 400-nucleotide ribosomal RNA is filed under the name uncultured bacterium. RNAcentral describes it as "bacterial SSU rRNA". It matches the Rfam family "Bacterial small subunit ribosomal RNA", at positions 356 to 773 of the family's 1533-position model. The record is from RNAcentral.
GGGGAAUAUUGCACAAUGGGCGAAAGCCUGAUGCAGCAACGCCGCGUGGAGGAUGAAGGCCUUCGGGUUGUAAACUCUUGUCUUCUGGGACGAUAAUGACGGUACCAGAGGAGGAAGCCACGGCUAACUACGUGCCAGCAGCCGCGGUAAUACGUAGGUGGCAAGCGUUGUCCGGAUUUACUGGGCGUAAAGGAUGCGUAGGCGGAUAUUUAAGUGAGAUGUGAAAUACCCGGGCUUAACUUGGGUGCUGCAUUUCAAACUGGAUAUCUGGAGUGCGGGAGAGGAGAGUGGAAUUCCUAGUGUAGCGGUGAAAUGCGUAGAGAUUAGGAAGAACACCAGUGGCGAAGGCGACUCUCUGGACCGUAACUGACGCUGAGGCAUGAAAGCGUGGGGAGCAAAC